Molecule: non-coding RNA, 645 nt
Organism: Sus scrofa (pig)
Lineage: Eukaryota; Metazoa; Chordata; Mammalia; Artiodactyla; Suidae
Source: RefSeq, a predicted model, not a curated record
CUGUAAAGGGGGGGGGAAGAGCUCUGCCACUGUAAUAUGAUCUUCUAGAAGAGGAGAGAAGAAUCUGCCCCAGGAGAAUAAACGUGAAACUUGGUCUGGACCUGGCACUUUCAGGAGACUUGUGGUCAGGACCUCCAGUACUAUGAGGAAUAAAAGUGGGGAGAAUGGAAUCCUUGUCUUGUUCCUGAUCUUACAAGAAAAGCUUUCAGCUUUUCACCAUUGAAUAUGAUAGCUGUGGGCUUGUCAUACAUGACUUUUAUUAUAUUGAGGGCAUUUGGAAAUGUCCAUCUCUCACCUACGAUUCUGGGAACCAAGGGCAGCUCGAAGGUGCCCACCCAGUUCUGAACCCAGAGCCUAAAUAUGAAUUCUGACUUCAUCACUUACCAGCUGUGUGACCGUGAGCAGGGGCAUCCCUCUUGGUAGGUCAGAAGAACAGAAGAGGAAGAAUUUGGGAUUCUGAAGACUGCAGAGAAGAGAGGACAUACCAGCCUAGAAUUUCAUGUAGAAGAAAAUUAUUUCUGUUGCUUGCUUAUUAUUCUUAAAGAAUAGUCCAGGAAUUCCUGCUGGGGCACAAUGAAGUCAGUGGUGUCUCUGCAGUGCUGGGACACAAGACUGAUCUCUUGCCCCUGCACAGUGGGUUAAGGA